This 184-nucleotide ribosomal RNA is filed under the name Paenibacillus barengoltzii J12. RNAcentral's name for it is "16S rRNA. Bacterial SSU". It matches the Rfam family "Bacterial small subunit ribosomal RNA", at positions 19 to 195 of the family's 1533-position model. The record is from RNAcentral. Lineage: Bacteria; Bacillati; Bacillota; Bacilli; Caryophanales; Paenibacillaceae.
CUGGCUCAGGACGAACGCUGGCGGCGUGCCUAAUACAUGCAAGUCGAGCGGAGUUUAUCGGGAGCUUGCUCCUGAUAAACUUAGCGGCGGACGGGUGAGUAACACGUAGGCAACCUGCCCGUAAGACUGGGAUAACUACCGGAAACGGUAGCUAAUACCGGAUACGCAAGUCUCUCGCAUGAGG